UUUGGAACCAGGCCUCGACCCAACCCAACCCAUGGAUAACUUUAGUUGUUGGUCGCCUCGCUUUUUUGGGUGCCAUCCAAAGAUUUUUGGUUACAAAAAUGCCUAGUUUGUUUCUGGCUCAUAUGAAUUUUUCUAGUUUUACAGAAUUAAAAUUAAAAUUACUACGUGCAGAUGAUAGUUCACCAUCUAAUUACAAACC
Molecule: long non-coding RNA, 199 nt
Filed under: Gossypium raimondii (Peruvian cotton)
Lineage: Eukaryota; Viridiplantae; Streptophyta; Magnoliopsida; Malvales; Malvaceae
Description: long non-coding RNA (GRAI_LNC003662)
Source: RNAcentral